This 274-nucleotide ribosomal RNA is filed under the name uncultured bacterium. RNAcentral's name for it is "partial 16S ribosomal RNA". It matches the Rfam family "Bacterial small subunit ribosomal RNA", at positions 523 to 796 of the family's 1533-position model. The record is from RNAcentral.
AUACGGAGGGUGCAAGCGUUACUCGGAAUCACUGGGCGUAAAGCGCGCGCAGGCGGCUUGAUAAGUUGGAUGUGAAAGCCUACGGCUCAACCGUAGAACUGCAUCCAAAACUGUCAAGCUAGAGUCUGGGAGGGGAAGAUGGAAUUAGUUGUGUAGGGGUAAAAUCCGUAGAGAUAACUAGGAAUACCAAAAGCGAAGGCGAUCUUCUGGAACAGUACUGACGCUGAGGCGCAAAAGCGUGGGGAGCAAACAGGAUUAGAUACCCUAGUAGUCC